AACGAACGCUGGCGGCAUGCCUAACACAUGCAAGUCGAACGUGAUCCGGGACUUCGGUUUCGGUGAAAGUGGCGGACGGGUGAGUAACGCGUGGGAACCUGCCCAGUGGUAGGGGAUAACCGCGGGAAACUGCGGCUAAUACCCUAUGUGCCCUGCGGGGCAAAGAUUCAUCGCCAUUGGAGGGGCCCGCGUCGGAUUAGGUAGUUGGUGGGGUAACGGCCUACCAAGCCUUCGAUCCGUAGCUGGUCNGAGAGGAUGAUCAGCCACACUGGGACUGAGACACGGCCCAGACUCCUACGGGAGGCAGCAGUGGGGAGUAUUGGACAAUGGGGGCAACCCUGAUCCAGCAAUGCCGCGUGAGUGAUGAAGGCCUUAGGGUUGUAAAGCUCUUUCGGCGGGGGAAGAUGAUGACGGUACCCGCAGAAGAAAGCCCCGGCUAACUUCGUGCCAGCCGCCGCGGUAAU
This 464-nucleotide ribosomal RNA is filed under the name uncultured bacterium. RNAcentral describes it as "bacterial SSU rRNA". It matches the Rfam family "Bacterial small subunit ribosomal RNA", at positions 28 to 524 of the family's 1533-position model. The record is from RNAcentral.